AAACUGUUAAUCAGCCUGCUCUGCAGUCUGCUGCAGAGUUUGCUUUAUUAAAGCUCCCUGCUGCCUGCACACGUUCACUGGCACAGACAUCGAGAGACAAGCAAACACUUUCCCGAGUGCAGAAUACUCUGCUGCAUUGCAGAGUUUACUGGCAGAAAGUGAUGGGGUUCACAGGUAGAAAGCUGAUGGAUCUCUACACAUUUGCAGAGCAGUUAGCCCAAAUCCUGGAGAUCCUCCCAUUCACAUACCCCAGUCUAUUUUAUGUCAUCCUAUCUGGAAUGCCUGGAAGAUAACCAUCCCCUUCAGUCGGUCACGCGUGAGGGCAGCAGGGCUGCAGUGACACAGAAGAACCACACUUCAUUUCUCUGACUGGCCCUGGCUGGUGUUGUGGGAUGAUGGGGCGUCCUUGUGCUUGCCAGUCUGCCUAUUCCCAGCCAGCACCCAUCGGGCACAGCUGGGCCAUGGAUCCCGGGCACCGAUCCCUGGCAGCUCUUGCACCGCCUCCUGCCCAUCACCCGGGGAAGCUGCUGGUGCAGCAGGCCGGGAACAGCCAGGCUGACAGACACGGUGUGGCACCUGGCCUCGGCACCCUGCAGCUCCCAGCUCUUUCCACAGGCAUUGCAGGUUUGGCUGCGAGCCUGGAGCUGUGGUGCACACUCUGUGUGGGAGCGUGGGAGUGACUCAGGAGCAGCAGUUCUGGAGUGGGUGAUGCAGCGCUGGUGUGGAGUGAUGCUAUGGGGGCUGUGGUUUGGUUCCAGAGAGGGAGGGAGGGCAGGAAAGGGAGGGAGCACUAAGGUAACCACAGAAACAUGGUAUUCUUGGAUAUUAGCAAUCCUGACCUACUUCUGGCUACUCACUCACUGCUGGUGACAAAAGAGGAGUAAGAUGGAGGGCUUAAAGCUCUGAGAGAAAAAGAAGGAAUCUUUCCAUAAUUUUCCAGGAUCAAGACUAUUCAUUAUAAUAUUCAGCUAAUUAAAAUCUUUAAGUUUUAUCACCUUACACAUCAUACUGUUUUCAUUCCUGCUUUAUAUACUAUAGAAAGUAUUUUCAUAAUACAUUACUGAUAUAUAAUUGACAGAGAUGUAUUGUUAUGUAUAUGAUGUAGAUCAGACUGACUGACGGGGGUGUCAUUAUGCAUGUAUAACCUAGUUGUUGCCAGUGGUGUUAAUCUGACUCUGCAUUUCAUUUAGAUCAGUGAGAAACCCUUUUCCACAGUUGCAGGUCUGCUGGUGAUCCAGAUACAGCUCUCCACUUACAUCAGUAAAAUCACACUGUUGUAAUUGCAGGAAAACACAGGCCCUGGACUUCAGUGAGAUAUGGAGAAUUUAUACUAGAUGGAAUUCUACUUCUGGCAUUACUGUUAAUGCUGCUGCCUGUCCUUCAGAAAACGUGGGGCAUCGCCCUCUGUUCAACUGCUCAGUCUUGCCAUGUCGUGCUCUUUUCUUUCCACCCUAAGAAACUAAAGCACAAAGCUUGACUGCAUGACUGCUUGCUGCAGGGAAGGAAGACUACUCAUGGCAUGGGAAUGGGACCAGGAGUGGCAAAAUUUAGAAGGGAAUUGAAGCAGUGACAAAGACACAGGCCCAGGCUCCUGGUCCUUUCCCAUCCCAUGUGUACACCCCGGCCCUGAGCUACCAGGGCAGGAGCAGCCUGCAGCAUGUCCUGCCCUGCCAGGGCUUCUCUCUCACACACAUGCCAGUCUCUUGAGCAUUUGGCCACCUCCCCAGCACUGAGGGAGCUGAUGCUGCUGUACCUUACAGGGUAAAGAAACCAACAGACAGAGAUCCAAUGAGACAGAUAUUCUCAGAUUAAGUCCUCAUCUAGUCCUGUUUUUUACUGUGGUUUAUUAGUUUUGUAUUGAAUUCUUGUUCUGUAAGGAAGAGUCUUUCCUGGAAGUUAAGUAAAUGAACAAAGGUCAAACUGGACUCCCUUUGGCUACUGCUAUUGCUAAUGCAAUGCAGGAAGACUCACAGCACUCACUUCCUCACAGCAGUACCCUUGGACUAUGUUUCAUACCAACCCAGAUCUGAGGCUCAUGUAACCAGGCCUAAAUAAUCUUCUCUCCAGAUAAGGAAACAAGUGAAAAACAGACAAUCUGUAUAAUGAUAAAUUCAAUAUGAAAAUAUAAUAUACUAUAAAAGCACAUCUAUAAAUGUUUCCUCUUUUUAUUCUUCCCCCCGUCUUUUAUACCAAGCUGUGUUGAAAUUGGUCUUCUUUUAAAUAUUUUUAGAAAUAUUGAAAUAACUGAUGCAUUGCAAUACCAAUAGAGGCCUCACCAUGAUGCCCUUAGGCAUUGCUUUGCUAUUUCAGGCUCUGAAACAGUGCAGUUUGAUAGAGUGAGAAGAUCAGAAAGCUUUGUCUUUGUCCUGACUUGAUGUCUGAGUCCUCUAGGAUCUGUUUAAAUGCCCUGGCACUUUUGCUUAGUUCUUUUGAGCAUUAUUCCAGUGCUAUAAGAGAAGCAGAGACCAUGAGCUGGGACCAUGCUUCAUCUCCAGAGGCAAAGAACCUUUAGGGUAAUCAUUUCAUUGCCUAGGGAUUUGGGGGAAGCUGAAGGCAUCAUUGUGCCUUAGGAUUUCAAGCUGUAUCAGGAACCAGAAAAGCUACUGGCAUACAUCAGAGUAGCUUCCACAGCCUAAAUCAGCCCACAGCCUCCAGAGCAGCACAUGCUACAUAAUAUUUUCUGCUCUUAGUGCUUUGUCUUUUAUCCCUGCCAUCUUUUCUAGACCUCAUAAGGAAUCAGGAUUGCAAGCACAGCAGGGAUUGUUCUUGUCUCUUAGUUACUCAGCUCUGGCCCACAUAUGCCUUUAGAAAUGUACACCACAACUAGACUGAGGGCAGAUUCUGUCCCUGUUCAGCUGGAUUUCCAAUUAUUUUCAAAUCAAUAAUACAAACUCACUAUAAAAAAAAUCUAGAGGAAUUUCAUGUAAUAUGAAUAAUUAUUUACAGCAAUAAUUGAGCAAUUGUUAUGCUGUGCAAGUGGCUGCACAUCUGUUCCUAUCUUUAGGUAUUCAAACCAACUUUAGAAAUAAAAAUAUAUAACAAAUAGGUAAUGAAUAUCAUAAAAAUUCACAAGCAUAGUCAUUCAGAUUUUAAAUUAAUUCCCAAAAAUUCUGUUCAUUCCCACCAUCAAUGAAUAUUCAAGAAAAGGGUUCAUGGACAAAAAUGUUCACAAAAAUAGCUUGCUUUAAUUAAGUGAUGCAGCAUAUUCACAGAAGUGAAUUUCCUAUUUGUAGCUGUCAAACCCACAUCAGAAACAUUUCUUUAAUAAUUUUAUUUAGUCUAGCAGGAUAGAAAGACCAUCCACUGGACCUCUGUGUCCCACCAAAGUGCUUGAGCUUUCUACAUGGAAGAACAAGGUUCCUGUCUAAUCAUUUUCUCUUUGAAAUUCUGCUUGAUGCUGUUGCAUAUCCACAAGAACCUAAGGUUUUUCUAUAAUCUCAUCCUCUGUGCUCUUGCCCAAUGUUUGUCAUCAAAGCCACCUUGUUGAGUAAAAUGAUUUAAGCAGCUGCAACAAUUGCCCAAAGCAGUGGCUAAGGGCAAAACAUUACUAAGUAUUUGAUUUCUGUGAGCAAGUGUAUACACUAUACACAGAAAAACUCAAAUUAAUGGUUACCUAUGGCAGAAAGCCAGGACCAUGCAGAAGCUGUUUGUGCAAGAAACUAAGAAAACUGAUUUUUUAUUAAAAUGUGCUGUGAUGGUGCAUUUUGUGGAUAUCUUUUGUAACCAAAGAGGGAUCUGUAAAACUCAGUUUCCACGGACAACACACAACCAAAAGGCAUGAUAGUUCUUGUCAGAAAACACAGGUAGGUGUUAAAAAUCUGAUAUUAGGUGAUACAUUAAAAAAAAAAAAAAAAAGAAGAUGACAAAAGAUGACAGAGGAGUUAAGACAUGAGAGCCUGGAGUGGGAGGUCAGUAGCCAUGGCUAUGGAGUCUGUCUGGAGGGGCUGUCUGCCCUGCGGGCUGAGCUAUUGCCUGGGCUGAAACAGCAAAUGGAGGAAGAAGGAAAAGCAUUUUCUGAUCUAGCUAAUAAAGCUUGCCAAGUCUGGACCUGCCCAGGGUGACAGAAUGGUGUGGCAUGCUGGCACAGUGCAGGGCACCAGAACCACAACAGCCACUACACAUAUGCCCAAUACGUGCUUGAGGAAAGUGUAAUAAAAACAUUUGAUUAUUAGUAAUAAAUUAUUCUCUAUAUAAUCACAUAUUUCUGGGUCAGUCUUAAGGAAAAUGCUACUGAACCUGUGUCAGAUUAACGUAUGGACACUUAAAAUUUAUUUAAAUUCUUAGCUUUUCUUCUUCUCCAAAACCAUCUUCCAGAGAUUACUUACAAAGAUGGAGCAGGAGGCAAGAAAAAAAUGUAGCUGAAUAGUUAUGAUAACAGGCUGCCUGAAUGAGCUGGAGACAAUAUAAGUUAAAAUGGAUUUUAAUACUGGUAAUAUUGCUCUACCUCAAGAAACCUCUGAGGCAGACAAGUUACUCAUAUCCAGAUGCUGAAACAUGCCAAGAUUAACUCUGUGUCUCAUGUAUAUAAAAAAUUGCAGAUUUGUGGGAUGAAUUACUUUAUUUUUUGGCUGAAGAGGAAUAACUUGUGAGCAUGAACAACUGCUCAGAAAUUCAGAAGAAAAGCAUCAUGUGAGUCUAAUCUCAAAAACGGCACUGGGUGUUGCAAGCCAUUAGUUCAGAGACAUAAAACAGCUAAACACAGAAAACAAACUGAGGCAAACUCAAACCUUUUCUGUCCAGCAAGAAAAGGUAUUUAUGGCUGAAAAUGUCUUUAGAAAGUCUGCUCAGGAGGGAGCUGCUCUAGGACUUCUGUCUGUAGGGUAAGGGGAAGAGUCCUAAAGGUUCAUCUGCCAUAACAAGCUUGGUAGUAAUUUAUCAUUGCUUCCCCAAAGGAUAACACUGAAUGUAACAAUUAACCCGACUCUAAGCAGCAUUUCUCUCCUAAUAAAUGAAAGGGGUGGAGAA
Molecule: non-coding RNA, 4965 nt
Organism: Taeniopygia guttata (zebra finch)
Lineage: Eukaryota; Metazoa; Chordata; Aves; Passeriformes; Estrildidae
Source: RefSeq, a predicted model, not a curated record